RNAcentral lists this ribosomal RNA (424 nucleotides) under uncultured fungus. RNAcentral describes it as "eukaryotic LSU rRNA". It matches the Rfam family "Eukaryotic large subunit ribosomal RNA", at positions 1 to 422 of the family's 3401-position model. The record is from RNAcentral. Lineage: Eukaryota; Fungi.
GACCUCGGAUCAGGUAGGGAUACCCGCUGAACUUAAGCAUAUCAAUAAGCGGAGGAAAAGAAACCAACAGGGAUUGCCUCAGUAACGGCGAGUGAAGCGGCAACAGCUCAAAUUUGAAAUCUGGCUCUUUCAGGGUCCGAGUUGUAAUUUGUAGAAGAUGCUUUGGGUGUAGCUCCGGUCUAAGUUCCUUGGAACAGGACGUCAUAGAGGGUGAGAAUCCCGUAUGUGACUGGGUGCUUUCGCUCGUGUAAAGCUCUUUCGACGAGUCGAGUUGUUUGGGAAUGCAGCUCAAAAUGGGUGGUAAAUUUCAUCUAAAGCUAAAUAUUGGCCAGAGACCGAUAGCGCACAAGUAGAGUGAUCGAAAGAUGAAAAGCACUUUGGAAAGAGAGUUAAACAGUACGUGAAAUUGUUGAAAGGGAAGCGC